RNAcentral lists this ribosomal RNA (607 nucleotides) under uncultured bacterium. RNAcentral describes it as "bacterial SSU rRNA". It matches the Rfam family "Bacterial small subunit ribosomal RNA", at positions 8 to 608 of the family's 1533-position model. The record is from RNAcentral.
AGAGUUUGAUCCUGGCUCAGAUUGAACGCUGGCGGCAUGCUUUACACAUGCAAGUCGAACGGCAGCACGGGUGCUUGCACCUGGUGGCGAGUGGCGGACGGGUGAGUAAUACAUCGGAACGUAUCCUAAAGUGGGGGAUAACGCAUCGAAAGAUGUGCUAAUACCGCAUACACUCUGAGGAGGAAAGUAGGGGAUCGAAAGACCUUAUGCUUUUGGAGCGGCCGAUGUCUGAUUAGCUAGUUGGUAAGGUAAUGGCUUACCAAGGCAACGAUCAGUAGUUGGUCUGAGAGGACGACCAGCCACACUGGGACUGAGACACGGCCCAGACUCCUACGGGAGGCAGCAGUGGGGAAUUUUGGACAAUGGGCGCAAGCCUGAUCCAGCAAUGCCGCGUGAGUGAAGAAGGCCUUCGGGUUGUAAAGCUCUUUCAGUUGAGAAGAAAAGAUUGUGACUAAUAAUUGCAAUUCAUGACGGUAUCAACAGAAGAAGCACCGGCUAACUACGUGCCAGCAGCCGCGGUAAUACGUAGGGUGCGAGCGUUAAUCGGAAUUACUGGGCGUAAAGGGUGCGCAGGCGGUUCUGUAAGUCAGAUGUGAAAUCCCCGGGC